Molecule: non-coding RNA, 23 nt
Filed under: Cricetulus griseus (Chinese hamster)
Lineage: Eukaryota; Metazoa; Chordata; Mammalia; Rodentia; Cricetidae
Source: RNAcentral
ACAUCGGAUACCCAAGGAGACGA